GCACAAUGGAUUAGCAGUCCAUCGCCUCAACCACUCGGCCACCUCGUCCUACUGCCUUUGUUUUCUUAGGAUGAUUAGAUAAUUGUCAAUAUUGUAGAAUGUUUUUCAUGUUCCUGGGAAGUUUGUAAAGGCGUUAAAUGCAGGGGGCCACUUAGGCCAGGUACACAAAGUUUCAUUUCGAGUUGGGGGAUUAGCUCAAAUGGUAGAGCUUAGCAUGCGAGAAGUAGCGGGAUCAAUGCCCGCAUUCUCCACCAAAGCUUAAUUAAUUAUGUGCCUGUGAUUAAUGGGAAACGACCAGAUUUGUAAACAAACAUUGCUCACUUUGAAUCAGCAGGAUGCACCAACGUGUCAUUGCAAAAGGACUUGUUGAAUGGCAUUAAUGUGUUUUUUCUUGAUGAUCUGAGCACAAUGGUUUAGCAGUCCAUCAUCUUAACCACUCGGCCACCUCGUCCUAUUUCUUUUGUUUUCAUGGGAUGAUUAAAUGAAUGUCAAUAUUGUAGCAUGUUUUUCAUAUUCCUGGGAAGUUUGUAAAGGCGUUAAAUGCAGGGGGGCACUUAGGUCAAGUACACAAGUUUGCAUUAUGUGUUGGGGAAUUAGCUCAAAUGGUAAAGCGCUCGCUUAGCAUGCGAGAAGUAGCGGGAUCAACGACCGCAUUCUCCACUAAAACUUAAUUUAUUUUGUGCCUGCGAAUAGUGGAAAAUGACCAGAUUGAUAAACAACUGCUGCACAAUCGAAAUCAGCAGGAUGCACCUGCGUGUCGUUGCAAAAUGACUCGUUGAAUGCAUCAAUGAGGUUUUCUUGACGAUCUGAGCCUUUCUCCAAACACUGACAUGGUAAGCGAGCAUCAGGUAAAUGCGACGAGAAUGGGAUUCGAACCCAUGCGUGCAGAGCACAAUGGAUUAGCAGUCCAUCAUCUUAACCACUCGGCCACCUCGUCCUAUUUCUUUUGUUUUCAUAGGAUGAUGAGAUAAUUGUCAAUAUUGUAGCAUGUUUUUCAUGUUCCUGGGAAUUUUGUAAAGGCGUUAAAUGCAGGGGGGCACUUAGGUCAAGUACACAAGUUUGCAUUAUGUGUUGGGGAAUUAGCUCAAAUGGUAGAGCGCUCGCUUAGCAUGCGAGAAGUAGCGGGAUCAACGCCCGCAUUCUCCACUAAAGCUUAAUUAAUUUUGUGCCUGCGAAUAGUGGAAAAUGACCAGAUUGAUAAACAACUGCUGCACAAUCGAAAUCAGCAGGAUGCACCUGCGUGUCGUUGCAAAAUGACUCGUUGAAUGCAUCAAUGCGGUUUUCUUGACGAUCUGAGCCUUUCUCCAAACACUGACAUGGUAAGCGAGCAUCAGGUAAAUGCGACGAGAAUGGGAUUCGAACCCAUGCGUGCAGAGCACAAUGGAUUAGCAGUCCAUCGCCUUAACCACUCGGCCACCUCGUCCUACUGCCUUUGUUUUCUUAGGAUGAUUAGAUAAUUGUCAAUAUUGUAGAAUGUUUUUCAUGUUCCUGGGAAGUUUGUAAAGGCGUUAAAUGCAGGGGGGCACUUAGGCCAAGUACACAAAUUUUCAUUUCGAGUUGGGGGAUUAGCUCAAAUGGUAGAGCUUAGCAUGCGAGAAGUAGCGGGAUCAAUGCCCGCAUUCUCCACCAAAGCUUAAUUAAUUAUGUGCCUGUGAUUAAUGGAAAACGACCAGAUU
Long non-coding RNA from Gasterosteus aculeatus aculeatus (three-spined stickleback), 1676 nucleotides. The record is from Ensembl. Lineage: Eukaryota; Metazoa; Chordata; Actinopteri; Perciformes; Gasterosteidae.